RNAcentral lists this ribosomal RNA (757 nucleotides) under uncultured Treponema sp. RNAcentral's name for it is "bacterial SSU rRNA". It matches the Rfam family "Bacterial small subunit ribosomal RNA", at positions 28 to 776 of the family's 1533-position model. Lineage: Bacteria; Pseudomonadati; Spirochaetota; Spirochaetia; Treponematales; Treponemataceae. The record is from RNAcentral.
GAUGAACGCUGACAGAAUGCUUAACACAUGCAAGUCAACUUGAAUUUGGGUUUUUAACUUAGGUUUGGGUGGCGGACGGGUGAGUAACGCGUAAAGAACUUGCCUCACAGCUAGGGACAACAUUUGGAAACGAAUGCUAAUACCUAAUAUUAUGAUAAUAGGGCAUCCUAUAAUUAUGAAAGCUAUAAGCGCUGUGAGAGAGCUUUGCGUCCCAUUAGCUAGUUGGAGAGGUCACGGCUCACCAAGGCGAUGAUGGGUAGCCGGCCUGAGAGGGUGAUCGGCCACAAGGGGACUGAGACACGGCCCAGACUCCUACGGGAGGCAGCAGUGGGGAAUUUUGGACAAUGGGCGCAAGCCUGAUCCAGCCAUGCCGCGUGUCUGAAGAAGGCCCUCGGGUUGUAAAGGACUUUUGUCAGGGAAGAAAAGGCUGUUGCUAAUAUCAAUAGCUGAUGACGGUACCUGAAGAAUAAGCACCGGCUAACUACGUGCCAGCAGCCGCGGUAAUACGUAGGGUGCGAGCGUUAAUCGGAAUUACUGGGCGUAAAGCGAGCGCAGACGGUUACUUAAGCAGGAUGUGAAAUCCCCGGGCUCAACCUGGGAACUGCGUUCUGAACUGGGUGACUAGAGUGUGUCAGAGGGAGGUAGAAUUCCACGUGUAGCAGUGAAAUGCGUAGAGAUGUGGAGGAAUACCGAUGGCGAAGGCAGCCUCCUGGGAUAACACUGACGUUCAUGCUCGAAAGCGUGGGUAGCAAACAGG